RNAcentral lists this ribosomal RNA (460 nucleotides) under uncultured bacterium. RNAcentral describes it as "SSU rRNA". It matches the Rfam family "Bacterial small subunit ribosomal RNA", at positions 26 to 518 of the family's 1533-position model. The record is from RNAcentral.
AGAAUCAACGCUGGCGGCGUGCCUAACACAUGCAAGUCGAACGAGAAAGUGGAGCAAUCCAUGAGUAAAGUGGCGACCGGGUGAGUAACACGUGACUAACCUACCUUCGAGUGGGGAAUAACCUCGGGAAACCGGGGCUAAUACCGCAUAAUGUCUUCGGACCAAAGGAGCAAUUCGCUUGAAGAGGGGGUCGCGGCCGAUUAGCUAGUUGGUGGGGUAACGGCCCACCAAGGCAAUGAUCGGUAGCCGGCCUGAGAGGGCGCACGGCCACACUGGAACUGAAACACGGUCCAGACUCCUACGGGAGACAGCAGUGGGGAAUUUUGCGCAAUGGGGGAAACCCUGACGCAGCAACGCCGCGUGGAGGAUGAAGCCCCUUGGGGUGUAAACUCCUUUCGAUCGGGACGAUUAUGACGGUACCGGAUGAAGAAGCACCGGCUAACUCUGCGCCAGCAGCCGC